CAAUGAGCUCAUAAACAAUGUCAUGUGGUCACUUUCCUGAUCUCCUUCCUUUCUAUGAUCUUUGUGGUCCUUUCCAGUUCACUGGCCCUAUUUUUGUCUUUUUAGGCAGAAAGCUGGAAUUUUGUGAUCAUAGUUUGCCACAGAAGUCUCAUAAUUGCACCCGCAUCUGGGGCUAAGCAGUAGGAGGAAAUAGAAGAAAAAAAUCAACUCCUGUUUGAGUUGAUCCAUCCUCAUGGGACCACAGCUUCUCUGAGGAGAGAAGAAAGUUUCCAUUCCACAAAGUUUUAGGUACCUGUGGACCCUGCUGCUGCUGCUGUUGCUGCCAUUAACGCCACUACUGCCACGAAUGGAGGAUUUCCUGGCGGCCAGGACAUGAUAGCGUGGAGAUUGUAAAAGAAAAAAAAAAAUAGGCGGGUGGAGAAAAAUGGCGGACUACAAGCCUACAUCCUUCCUACUACCCACAGGAACCCAAAUUUUAAAAACUAUCUGCACACAGAAAAGCACCAUCAUAAGAACCAAAAAUCAGGGUAACUGUGGAAGCUGACAGACAUAAGCCGAAGAAGAAAAUGAUUGGCAUCACUGUAGGUCCUCAGCAAAUGUUAGUUCUUUAAUAUUCUUAGAUUGUGUUGUGGGUGGCAGGCAAUCACUGCUCAACUUGGCUCUUCUGUCUAGGGUGGGUGGAAGCAGGAUAAAAUCAUGGGAGGUCACAUUGAGUUGAAAGUCUUGACCUUUCUUGGAUGGGUAAAGGAGCCAUCAUGUUUUUCAUGCUGAAAAUAAAUUAGUCCCUCAAGUCAAACGUUACCAGAGCUAAUAAUGAGCUACCUUUUUAUAGCAACUGCCAUGAUAUUCAGAACAAUUUUUAAUUGUGAGUCUCUUUCUUUAAAAUAAAAAGUUCACAUGAGCAAAUGCUAAUAUUUUAAGAAAAUUCUUGGAGGGACUUUAAUUGACACAUGUAAAUGCUGUAGUUCAAUUUGCAUUUAAAUAGACAUUCUAAACAUUUUCUUUUAAAUGGGCUUUAUUUCUCUCUUGUAAAACUAAAAAUUGAUUUUUUCUUUUUAGCAAAAUGGGUGCCUGGUAAGGUUCAUGGUUAAGAGAUGUGGUGCAGCUGUUCUUUUAUCUCCUACUCAGAGUGGAAAUAGCCUUACCAGAGCAAGGCACAGUGAACAAUAGAAGUAAUAUUUUUAAAAAAUGUGCCUCUGCAAAGGAUUGAUCAGUGGCUUAACAAAGAUUGACAUCAGCGUGACAUUCUCUGCAACAAUGCACAAGGCUGCACAGAAAAAUCUUCCCUAUUUACAAGCACAGUCAACCUUUCAUCUCUGAUUUCCCCUGAAGACCGCAGUGACCCUCUUAAAAUAUACUGCAGGGGUAAGCUUUUUUUUCUCCCUUUCCUUCUUCUAUAUUGGAAUAGGAGACUUCUCUGAAAAAGCCUCUAAUAGUGGAGUUUUGGGAGAUGGAAUUCUCAUCUGGAAUUUUUUACCAAAGGAAUUUUAUUUUAUUUUAUUUUAUUAUUAUUAUUUUUUUUGGUGAGACAGAGUCUCACUCUGUUGCCCAAGCUGGAGUGCAGUGGCAUGAUCUUGGCUCACUGCAACCUCCACCUCCCUGGUUCAAACGAUU
RNAcentral lists this long non-coding RNA (1614 nucleotides) under Homo sapiens (human). RNAcentral's name for it is "HSALNT0151135". The record is from RNAcentral. Lineage: Eukaryota; Metazoa; Chordata; Mammalia; Primates; Hominidae.